Molecule: transfer RNA, 70 nt
Filed under: Butyrivibrio sp.
Lineage: Bacteria; Bacillati; Bacillota; Clostridia; Lachnospirales; Lachnospiraceae
Also listed under: 1 other name
Description: tRNA-Gln
Rfam family: tRNA
About the family: Transfer RNA (tRNA) molecules are approximately 80 nucleotides in length.
Source: RNAcentral
GCUCUGUAGUGUAAUGGAAGCACUCAGGAAUUUGAAUCCUGCGGUAUGGGUUCGAACCCCAUCAGAGCCG